UGUCUGUUGCACUCCCCCAACGUAUGAGCAAUACUUCCCAUGUUUUCAGCAGCACUUUUUGUAUACCCAAUGUGCAGGUGCAGCAAAUACCUUGGCAAGGGGGAAAGCGAUUAUCACUUAAGAAAACAGUAACACUGUAUAGUUCCUACUUCUUCAAGGUCUUGAGCAAAGCAUAAAUUCUCAUGAAAACGAACUCACUACACUUCAAGCAUCAGACAGCGAAGCAGGUAAGUCUUACUGUUGCUCAUAGUGCUGAUUUUACCGUAUUUUGUAAUUUAUAGGCUUUUUCUUUUUUUCUCUCCUGCAUUUGUUCAGUAAUUCAAAUAAGUAUUUUCUCAGGUCUUAAAUAUAAAAGCGUCAAAUAUUGUAAAAUAAUGCAAUAUACUGAGAAGGGGAUAUUGUUACUAACUUGUAAUUAACUUUCAGGUCAAGUCUACAGAGCUGCACUUCAUUUUUUCUGAGAACUCUGCGCUUUCUUGUUUACUCUUUCCGCAAGUGGAGUGGAUCGUGAUCUGGCUCGUUGUUCCUUUUUCCUAUGCAUAUACUUCUUUGAGAAUUGCUUCUAAAGAGGUAUAGGGCAUGGGAAAAUGGGGCAACAGAGGUACUUCACCACUCAUCUCAAGCAGCAUCGUGAAGGCAGCAGCAGAAAUGUUUGGAGAAAGCAGACGGGAGAAGAAAUGAAAGGUAAAUUUAUGGAACUCGCAAUUAAUCUUCAAAGCUUGCAUAGAAAGAUACCGGCACUAUUUACUGUGAUCUAACAUCUAAAUGUUGGUUUCCUCUUAAAAUCUGAUUUAUUACAAGAGCAAUGUUUUAAGCUUGUCUCCAAUGACAUUAUUAAAUAUAUCACUUGGUCUAAUGUAAGACACACGCCAUGCUAGGAAGUUGCUCCUGUGGGUCCUUAUUCCGUAAGUGUGCAAUUGAAAAGAGCAGAGAUGCAGCCACACAAAUGCCCAGAACUCUGCCCUUCCUCGCUGUCUCACAGGUGCUGGGAUCAGCCCCCCCAGAAUCCAGGUAAUGCUCACUCACCUGGGUAAAGCCCAGUCAUGCCAGUGCUGCCCAAGUGGGUUGUCUGUAAUAUAUCAAUUAUUCUCAGGAUUCUGUUCCUUCAGAUUCUAAGUACCUUUUACAUGAUGCAUGCAUGUGUGGGAUUGCAAAGUCUUCUCUUGUAAAACUCAGUUAAUGGUAAAUCAAAUUAAAAACAUAUUAAUUUUCUUUUCUUUUAUCCACAGGUGUCUUGGAGGUAGAAGUAGAACCUCUCUUUGCUCAUUUUAUUUAAUAGAAAAACAAUCAUUAAACACAAUUUUUAUGUAUUUGUCCAAUUACUUUAAAUAGCAAUGUGUCACAUCAGUUCUGGGGGGAAAAUAUUGGUUUUAUGAAACAAUGUAACUGUACAUAAUGCAUGUCAAAUAAAUAUUUGAUGUUUCAGUCAUAUAUCAAAAGUUUGUGUUACAUUGCAUCACAGUUUCUAACAAGUGUCAUAAAGCUGCGAGCUCAGAAAGAGCAAAACAAGGUGAAUUAAAAGUCAUUUUACCCAGUG
Molecule: non-coding RNA, 1537 nt
Organism: Cyanistes caeruleus (blue tit)
Lineage: Eukaryota; Metazoa; Chordata; Aves; Passeriformes; Paridae
Source: RefSeq, a predicted model, not a curated record